UACGUAGGGUGCAAGCAGUUAAUCGGAAUUACUGGGCGUAAAGCGUGCGCAGGCGGUUGUGCAAGACCGAUGUGAAAUCCCCGGGCUUAACCUGGGAAUGGCAUUGGUGACUGCACGGCUAGAGUGUGUCAGAGGGGGGUAGAAUUCCACGUGUAGCAGUGAAAUGCGUAGAUAUCAGGAGGAAUACCGAUGGCGAAGGCAGGUCUCUGGGCUGACACUGACGCUCAUGCACGAAGCGUGGGGAGCAAACAGGAU
Molecule: ribosomal RNA, 255 nt
Filed under: uncultured bacterium
Lineage: Bacteria
Description: partial 16S ribosomal RNA
Rfam family: Bacterial small subunit ribosomal RNA
Source: RNAcentral